RNAcentral lists this ribosomal RNA (427 nucleotides) under uncultured bacterium. Its description in RNAcentral is "bacterial SSU rRNA". It matches the Rfam family "Bacterial small subunit ribosomal RNA", at positions 28 to 430 of the family's 1533-position model. The record is from RNAcentral.
GACGAACGCUGGCGGCGUGCUUAACACAUGCAAGUCGAACGAAAAGAGGGAAAGAGCUUGCUCUUUCCGGAAUUGAGUGGCAAACGGGUGAGUAACACGUAAACAACCUGCCUUCAGGAUGGGGACAACAGACGGAAACGACUGCUAAUACCGAAUAAGUUCCAAGAGCCGCAUGGCCCAUGGAAGAAAAGGUGGCCUCUACCUGUAAGCUAUCGCCUGAAGAGGGGUUUGCGUCUGAUUAGCUGGUUGGAGGGGUAACGGCCCACCAAGGCGACGAUCAGUAGCCGGUCUGAGAGGAUGAACGGCCACACUGGAACUGAGACACGGUCCAGACUCCUACGGGAGGCAGCAGUGGGGAAUCUUCCGCAAUGGGCGAAAGCCUGACGGAGCAACGCCGCGUGAGUGAUGACGGCCUCGGGUUGUAAAC